UACGGGGGGGGCAAGCGUUGUUCGGAAUUACUGGGCGUAAAGGGCUCGUAGGCGGCCAACUAAGUCGGAUGUGAAAUCCCCAGGCUUAACCUGGGAACUGCAUCCGAUACUGGAUGGCUUGAAUUCGGGAGAGGGAUGCAGAAUUCCAGGUGUAGCGGUGAAAUGCGUAGAUAUCAGGAAGAACACCUAUGGCGAAAGCAGCUCUCUGGGACGGUACUGACGCUGAGACGCGAAAGCGUGGGGAGCGAACAGG
This 253-nucleotide ribosomal RNA is filed under the name uncultured bacterium. Its description in RNAcentral is "partial 16S ribosomal RNA". It matches the Rfam family "Bacterial small subunit ribosomal RNA", at positions 524 to 776 of the family's 1533-position model. The record is from RNAcentral.